UAGGGUUCUUCUCGUCCUUGCACCUGAAAACAUUAUUAAACCAGAAACAUCGUUGUUACUCAACAAUCUUUUUUCUUUUGGUUAAUUACUUAGCACAAUCUUUCUUGAACAUUAUUUACUCUAAAGCGAUUGAUUUGUCUAAUUAAAGUUAGACAAAGAGCAAUGACUAUCUCCUUUAUUUUCAAUAAAACAUACCCAUCAAACAUUUUAUAUUUUGUAUAUAUAUUCUUAUGGUUUCAAAAUUGUCCACGUGAGCGGUUGGUGACGAGAUGACUUGGACUUAUGGUGUGAGUUGUUGGGUAUACCAACCUUCACCACAGACGAAAAAAGGAUCAUGGGACCAAUUCACACCCAUCAAUGGUUUUAUAUCAAACUAAGUGAUAAAGGAACUAUUUGUCAAAAAAAGAGAGAAAAGAAACAGAACAAAAAAAAAAAAAAAUCAUUUUGUAAGAACAAAAACGAAUUAUAUAUAUUGAAUAAGCCAUAUAUGUGAAGAUUAGCAAAGACACUGUAUAAGAGACGUCAGAUUAUCGUCAUAAUUAGCCGUAAGUAUUCAUAUUCAUAUGUCUACUGAUUAGUGUUUCUGACGACUUCUUUACUUAUUAUUAUUAAUGUACACUAAUGAGUACAUGAGGCAUGCGAGUAUGCAAUUGUAUAGUACAAAGUCUUAUAACCAUAUAAUAUAAAUAAUGUUAGUUACAAAGACGAGUACCUUGAGACCGGUCAUUGUCUUAAUAAGAUACACAAGAGCUAACAUCGUCGAUUAAAAAAAACGUUAUUUGCUGUGUUUUUACUAUUUACAGAAAGUGUUGACUCAACUCAAGUAAGUGGAGACUCUAUGUCAUGAGGUGACGAGGGGUGCAUGGCUGCCAAAUGUAUGAUUCGUCAUCAAAACUGAUACAAGGUGUUUUUUUUUCCUUAGAUUAUUUUUUAUAGUCUACAAGUAUCCCACAAUUUAAAUUAGUUUUUUCGUUUCAAAUGUGAUGAAAAUUUUAUAUAUUGGACCACAAUUCUUGAUAUGAACCUUUACCUUCAAGUUGGUUUCGAAAGAUACAACCGGAAAUAUUUCCACAAUGCUUGAUAUGAGCUUUCAAUUCUAUAUUUUAUAAUAUGGUUUUCGUUUCUAACUUAUUAUAGAAAACUAACCCUUAAUUAGUAAAUAUUUAAGUGACUGACAUUAAUUAGUUAGAAACUAUUAAAAUGCUAAAGGCAAAGUUCACUUACUUGGUCGGAAGAGGAUACUCCGGGAAUAGCUUAGCCAGAAUCUCAACAACUUCCCCGCGGUGGCGAGCACUCUCGGCUAGGAGAUAACGUCCGGAGGCCGAGGGUGCCUCAUAGACCAGAACAUGAGCCAGCGCGACAUCGCGAACAUCCACAUAAGCUUGAGUCAAAUUAGCAUAAGUCUUAGCCGAGCCGGUUAGAUAUUUGAGGACGUGGUAAAGACUGGCGUUGAUCGUCGGCUGUAACGGCGGUCCAAGAACCAGCACCGGAUUCAACACCACCAAGUCAACACCUUUCUCCUUUGCUGUCUCCCACGCCGCUUGUUCCGCCACCAUCUUGCCGUAACAAUACCAAUUCUACAAAACACAUACAAAUAUUCAAUAGACCUAACAUCAAAGAUAAUACUAUUUCACAAUAGAACCAAAAAAUUCACAUUUUUUAGACAUUAAAUAUUUUUCAAUUUUUUAACAUGAUAAACAUGUUUAAUUAACAAAUGCAAAAUAUUUAAAAAAACGAAGCAAGAGUGCAAGACCUUGGUGUUUUUGCAGAAGUCAAGAUCACUCCAACAACUUUCGUCAACGACAGCCUCAGGGUCACGGUUCGGGUCCAUGUAGACGGCACCAAUGGAGGAGGUGAUGACCACGCGCUUGACCUUGGCCUCAGCCGCAGCAUUAAUUACAAACUUGGCUCCAUUCACGGCCGGCUCCACCAUUUGUUCCUGAAAAUUGAUUAUACAUUUAAAAAUAAUUAAUUAAAUACCUCGUUUUUUUUUCACCAAUUAAAUACCUCAUUUCACACUCUGAUGUGAUUUCACAUAAUAAUACUCAUUGAUUUGCCUUCCAACAAAAUAAUUUCUAACCAUCUUUGCUUCAUUUUAAAGUCAAAUGUAAUAAAAACAUCACAACAAGAUGGAACUUUCAACGUCCUAAAAUUAAAAUACUUGACGAAACUGGCAAAAACCAAAUAUUCAAUGAAGAAUAAUAUUGCUAGAGAUUUCACCCUUUUAAUGAGGCGAUAUUUUAAAAAUAGAUAAAAAAAAUAUUAUGUUCAUGAUUAAAAAAAGGGAUUAGAUAACGUCACGACAUGGUCUAAUUAACAAACGACAGAAAAAUCUAAAUGAAAUCAUCAGCUCCACUACUAUAUAAGUAUUAUUUUAUUUCAUGUAGGUCCUUAACUUUAUUCGAUUCUCUCUGUAAGCCACUAAAAAUGCGAUAAAACAAAUAGAAAACCCAAGAA
Long non-coding RNA from Arabidopsis thaliana (thale cress), 2457 nucleotides. RefSeq annotates it as other RNA. The transcript has a single exon. The record is from RefSeq. NCBI's taxonomy places the organism in Eukaryota, Viridiplantae, Streptophyta, Magnoliopsida, Brassicales, Brassicaceae.